AGGAGGAGAAAAUAAUAAUGAUUCUGCUAGUAGUGGCGAACGAACGUGGAUGAGGCUAAACCGUGUGCAUGUGAUACCUGGUAGGGGUUGUGUGUGCGGUGUUGUGGGCCCCAAUGUGCGGUGACUACCAUCAUCGUGCUUGUGUGUUGUUGUUAGGUGAAGUGGUUUGGAAUGGCCUGCCGGAGAAGGUGAGAGUCCUGUAGUUGAAGACAAUG
Molecule: ribosomal RNA, 215 nt
Filed under: Chloropicon mariensis
Lineage: Eukaryota; Viridiplantae; Chlorophyta; Chloropicophyceae; Chloropicales; Chloropicaceae
Description: partial Bacterial large subunit ribosomal RNA
Rfam family: Bacterial large subunit ribosomal RNA
Source: RNAcentral